RNAcentral lists this ribosomal RNA (301 nucleotides) under uncultured bacterium. RNAcentral's name for it is "partial 16S ribosomal RNA". It matches the Rfam family "Bacterial small subunit ribosomal RNA", at positions 509 to 807 of the family's 1533-position model. The record is from RNAcentral.
CAGUCGCCGCGGUAACACGGAGGGAGCUAGCGUUGUUCGGAAUUACUGGGCGUAAAGCGCGCGUAGGCGGUUACUCAAGUCAGAGGUGAAAGCCCGGGGCUCAACCCCGGAACUGCCUUUGAAACUAGGUGACUAGAAUCUUGGAGAGGUCAGUGGAAUUCCGAGUGUAGAGGUGAAAUUCGUAGAUAUUCGGAAGAACACCAGUGGCGAAGGCGACUGACUGGACAAGUAUUGACGCUGAGGUGCGAAAGCGUGGGGAGCAAACAGGAUUAGAUACCCCCGUAGUCCCUGUCUCUUAUAC